AUUUGAGAGUUGGAACUAGCUCAUAACCCGAAGGGUACAUCUAAUAUAAACGUUGAACUUAUAUGAUAAAGAGUUUAACAACUGUUAAAUCAAAAAUUCGUAUUAGGAUUUAUGCAUAAUCAAUUAAAGUGUAUAUAAUUAGUGCACAAAUCUAAAUAUAAAUAUUUGAUAUAGCAGUAUAUGAGGUCAAGUUUAUAAUAACCGCAUCUGAAUCAGAAUAAUUUGAACUCCUUGGGCGAUGCAUGAUUAGUGCUGAGCUAAGAGCAAAGUUAUAUGACAAAGUAACCUUCCAUUCCUCGUUUCCUCUAACCUAGGUGGACCAGGAACCUCAGUUCAGGUAGGAGGGCCAGGAACUCAGUUCAGGUUGUUCUGGUAUUAAAUUAUUUGGCCAUGAUUGACGUAAACAUUAACAAAUAGAAGCACUGUGCUUUGUGGUUUAUUUGGUAGCUACUAGUACAAAUAUCCUUUUUUUUUCAUGCUUCAAUUGAUGCUAUCAAGUGGGUGUUUUUAUUAUGUUGUUAGG
Molecule: unclassified non-coding RNA, 523 nt
Filed under: Hevea brasiliensis (rubber tree)
Lineage: Eukaryota; Viridiplantae; Streptophyta; Magnoliopsida; Malpighiales; Euphorbiaceae
Source: RNAcentral